UAACCAUAGAGUUAUGCUC
RNAcentral lists this small nuclear RNA (19 nucleotides) under Arabidopsis thaliana (thale cress). RNAcentral describes it as "snRNA_01894". The record is from RNAcentral. Lineage: Eukaryota; Viridiplantae; Streptophyta; Magnoliopsida; Brassicales; Brassicaceae.